UAUUUGUUUUUCCCUAGCCAUACACGUAUCCAAGCCCCAAAAGUCUUCUUACUUUUCUGAUUUUCUUGGCUGCUCCCUGAAGUCCAGCAGCUGCUUUUCUUCUUUCUCUAUUUUCCCCUUUCUUUGUUCUUCUUUCUUCUUCCUUCCUUACACGGCAACAUCUCUCCCUUCCUUCCUCACCAAAAAUUCUAGUUUCUUUAAAGAAGAAAUUAAACAAUUAGCCUUAAGGUUUCAUCUUCAAAGUGUGUGGGUGUUACCAGUAUCCAAGUCUAAGCUCCUUCGACUUUAGGCUCUCGAUUCUUCUGCUCUCAGGUAAGGGAUAAGUUAUAUGAGCAUUUGUUAGCAGGUUUUAUUUUGGAGCAGAGGGAGCCUUAGUCGAGUUUUGAAAGGAGCUGGUUUUAGUUUGAUAUGUAUAAAUCCUAAAUUGGCAUUCUGACGUUUAGCUUUAUAGUUAUUGUGUAUUUUAGGAUCAAAUGAAAGUUGUGUAUACCUUAAAGUAUCAAGCUAUGUAUUAUGUAAAAGUGUGGAAAUUAAAUGAUUGGUGGAUUAUGUUA
This is a long non-coding RNA of Quercus robur (English oak), 554 nucleotides long. RefSeq lists it as uncharacterized. The transcript has 3 exons. NCBI's taxonomy places the organism in Eukaryota, Viridiplantae, Streptophyta, Magnoliopsida, Fagales, Fagaceae. The record is from RefSeq and is a predicted model, not a curated record.